Paramisgurnus dabryanus is the source of this 797-nucleotide long non-coding RNA. RefSeq lists it as uncharacterized. The record is from RefSeq and is a predicted model, not a curated record. Lineage: Eukaryota; Metazoa; Chordata; Actinopteri; Cypriniformes; Cobitidae.
UUUUCUUUAAAUGCACAUUUAUUCACAGUUCAGUAGGACAGUAAAUUACCUGAAAGUGAAAUCAUUAUUGAAGGUGAUAUCAUUGUCACUGCAUUCAUUGUUACAUGAUUUUAAACAGUGGGAAUCAUCGUGUAAGUUUCUUAAUAAUAUCAAAUACUACUUUUUUGUCUUGUUGUUUCUAGACCUGAGGAUAAGAUUUCCAGUUUGAAAGUGAAGAAAAUGAAUCAUUAUUAACAGCAAUUAGUAGUUUUUCAGCUGAGAAGCCAGGUGAAACUAUAAGGACACUAUGAUUUACUUUCAUAUUAUCAUUCUUUUAUAGAUGAGGAGCAACCAGUAAGAAAAAGCAAAAAGAUGUUUUGAUGUUGCCUGAGGCACCUUAUUCACAUCAGUCAAUUUCUUCCAAUAAUGAAUCAAGAAAUCCUGGAGUGGAGAAUCAUUCUGAAAGUAGACCAAAUACAGGACAACACCACAGCAGUGGUUGGAAAAAUGCAGCAGACAAUGAGCAAACCAAGCUGACUUUCAAAAGAUGAUUCGUUAUCUGUUUCUUCAAAGGGGAGGCAGUUUGGGAGAUGGGAAAUAGGAGGAUGCUACAGCUACACAGGGCGAAUUUCAGCAGCUCAGUUUCACACUUGCAACUAACAAUGAAUUAUAGUUUGAAGACAACGGAAAUAUUUGACAUGGGAGUCCAGCAGACAGCCAGAGACACGCACACACACGGAGCUGAAGCGCGUUUGACUGAAGCGUACGGGAGAUCAGGCACGCGCACGGGAGCUCGCUCGCGCACGCACACACAAACA